RNAcentral lists this non-coding RNA (28 nucleotides) under Callithrix jacchus (white-tufted-ear marmoset). Lineage: Eukaryota; Metazoa; Chordata; Mammalia; Primates; Cebidae. RNAcentral also lists the same sequence under 1 other name. The record is from RNAcentral.
UUGGAGCCUGGUUGCCACAUGAAAUAUA